GUGAGGAAUAUUGGUCAAUGGGCGGGAGCCUGAACCAGCCAAGUCGCGUGAAGGAAGAAGGAUCUAUGGUUCGUAAACUUCUUUUGCAGGGGAAUAAAGUGCAGGACGUGUCCUGUUUUGUAUGUACCCUGAGAAUAAGGAUCGGCUAACUCCGUGCCAGCAGCCGCGGUAAUACGGAGGAUCCGAGCGUUAUCCGGAUUUAUUGGGUUUAAAGGGUGCGUAGGUGGUUUGAUAAGUCAGCGGUGAAAGUUUGCAGCUUAACUGUAAAAAUGCCGUUGAAACUGUCGGACUUGAGUGUAAAUGAGGUAGGCGGAAUGCGUGGUGUAGCGGUGAAAUGCAUAGAUAUCACGCAGAACUCCGAUUGCGAAGACAGCUUACUAAGCUACAACUGACACUGAAGCACGAAAGCGUGGGGAUCAAACAGGAUUAGAUACCCCGGUAGUCC
RNAcentral lists this ribosomal RNA (445 nucleotides) under uncultured bacterium. RNAcentral describes it as "partial 16S ribosomal RNA". It matches the Rfam family "Bacterial small subunit ribosomal RNA", at positions 354 to 796 of the family's 1533-position model. The record is from RNAcentral.